RNAcentral lists this unclassified non-coding RNA (313 nucleotides) under Arthroderma uncinatum. RNAcentral describes it as "partial internal transcribed spacer region". The stretch from base 1 to 46 matches the Rfam family "Eukaryotic small subunit ribosomal RNA", at positions 1786 to 1831 of the family's 1831-position model. Lineage: Eukaryota; Fungi; Ascomycota; Eurotiomycetes; Onygenales; Arthrodermataceae. The record is from RNAcentral.
AAGUCGUAACAAGGUUUCCGUAGGUGAACCUGCGGAAGGAUCAUUAAAGCGCCGCCGACGUCGACCCCGGCCGCCCGGCUUGAGAUAUAGCUCGGACGGUGCUGGAGGUCGCCGGCAGUUGCCCAUUCUUGUCUACUGACCCAGUUGCCUCGGCGCGCCGCUCCCUAGUGGACGGUCGGAGGCCCUUGGACCCAGCGUCCAUGUGGCCCUGGCCAGUGCGCGCCGACGGACAGUUUAAAAUCUUUAUAUAUUGGCCGUCUGAGCGUAUAAAGCAAAUCAAUUAAAACUUUCAACAACGGAUCUCUUGGUUCUG